This 171-nucleotide small RNA is filed under the name Chrysemys picta bellii (western painted turtle). RNAcentral's name for it is "TUC338 (ENSCPBG00000021500.1)". The record is from RNAcentral. Lineage: Eukaryota; Metazoa; Chordata; Testudines; Emydidae.
UUGAUAGCCCAGGAGAAGGAAGUCUUCUUCAUCACAGAAUAGCUACAGUGUGGGAAGCAGCAGUGGAAGAUUUCCUCAUCCUGCCCUGCCAUUGUGCCUCAGUCCUGACCUGAAGGGACCCCUUCUAGGGGUGAAAAGGGAGUCCAGUGCUCCAUUCAUUCUUUGACUUCU